RNAcentral lists this ribosomal RNA (486 nucleotides) under uncultured bacterium. RNAcentral's name for it is "bacterial SSU rRNA". It matches the Rfam family "Bacterial small subunit ribosomal RNA", at positions 28 to 521 of the family's 1533-position model. The record is from RNAcentral.
GAUGAACGCUAGCUACAGGCUUAACACAUGCAAGUCGAGGGGAAACGAUAUUGGAAGCUUGCUUCCGAUAGGCGUCGACCGGCGCACGGGUGAGUAACGCGUAUCCAACCUGCCCAUCACUUGGGGAUAACCUUGCGAAAGUAAGACUAAUACCCAAUGACGUCUCUAGAAGACAUCUGAAAGAGAUUAAAGAUUUAUCGGUGAUGGAUGGGGAUGCGUCUGAUUAGCUUGUUGGCGGGGUAACGGCCCACCAAGGCGACGAUCCAUAGCCGACCUGAGAGGGUGACCGGCCACAUUGGGACUGAGACACGGCCCAAACUCCUACGGGAGGCAGCAGUGGGGAAUAUUGCACAAUGGGCGAAAGCCUGAUGCAGCGACGCCGCGUGAGCGAAGAAGUAUUUCGGUAUGUAAAGCUCUAUCAGCAGGGAAGAAAGUGACGGUACCUGACUAAGAAGCCCCGGCUAACUACGUGCCAGCAGCCGCGGU